UAGGGAAUCUUCCGCAAUGGACGCAAGUCUGACGGAGCAACGCCGCGUGAGUGAAGAAGGAUUUCGGUUCGUAAAACUCUGUUGUUAGAGAAGAACAGCGCAUAGAGUAACUGUUAUGCGUGUGACGGUAUCUAACCAGAAAGCCACGGCUAACUACGUGCCAGCAGCCGCGGUAAUACGUAGGUGGCAAGCGUUGUCCGGAUUUAUUGGGCGUAAAGCGAGCGCAGGCGGUCAAUUAAGUCUGAUGUGAAAGCCCGGCUCAACCGGGGAGGGUCAUUGGAAACUGGUUGACUUGAGUGCAGAAGAGGAGAGUGGAAUUCCAUGUGUAGCGGUGAAAUGCGUAGAUAUAUGGAGGAACACCAGUGGCGAAGGCGACUCUCUGGUCUGUAACUGACGCUGAGGCUCGAAAGCGUGGGUAGCAAACAGG
This 427-nucleotide ribosomal RNA is filed under the name Bacteroidota bacterium. Its description in RNAcentral is "Bacteroidetes bacterium partial 16S ribosomal RNA". It matches the Rfam family "Bacterial small subunit ribosomal RNA", at positions 355 to 776 of the family's 1533-position model. The record is from RNAcentral. Lineage: Bacteria; Pseudomonadati; Bacteroidota.